RNAcentral lists this ribosomal RNA (636 nucleotides) under Salmonella enterica. RNAcentral's name for it is "partial 23S ribosomal RNA". It matches the Rfam family "Bacterial large subunit ribosomal RNA", at positions 1213 to 1831 of the family's 2925-position model. The record is from RNAcentral. Lineage: Bacteria; Pseudomonadati; Pseudomonadota; Gammaproteobacteria; Enterobacterales; Enterobacteriaceae.
ACUGUGUGUUGUUGGGUAGGGGAGCGUUCUGUAAGCCUGUGAAGGUGUGUCGUGAGGCAUGCUGGAGGUAUCAGAAGUGCGAAUGCUGACAUAAGUAACGAUAAAGCGGGUGAAAAGCCCGCUCGCCGGAAGACCAAGGGUUCCUGUCCAACGUUAAUCGGGGCAGGGUGAGUCGACCCCUAAGGCGAGGCCGAAAGGCGUAGUCGAUGGGAAACGGGUUAAUAUUCCCGUACUUGGUGUUACUGCGAAGGGGGGACGGAGAAGGCUAUGUUGGCCGGGCGACGGUUGUCCCGGUUUAAGCGUGUAGGUGUGUGUUCCAGGUAAAUCCGGUUCACUUUAACACUGAGGCGUGACGACGAGGCACUACGGUGCUGAAGCAACAAAUGCCCUGCUUCCAGGAAAAGCCUCUAAGCAUCAGGUAACAUCAAAUCGUACCCCAAACCGACACAGGUGGUCAGGUAGAGAAUACCAAGGCGCUUGAGAGAACUCGGGUGAAGGAACUAGGCAAAAUGGUGCCGUAACUUCGGGAGAAGGCACGCUGACACGUAGGUGAAGUGAUUUACUCAUGGAGCUGAAGUCAGUCGAAGAUACCAGCUGGCUGCAACUGUUUAUUAAAAACACAGCACUGUGCAAACA